Molecule: ribosomal RNA, 487 nt
Filed under: uncultured organism
Description: bacterial SSU rRNA
Rfam family: Bacterial small subunit ribosomal RNA
Source: RNAcentral
AGCGAACGUUAGCGGCGGGCUUAACACAUGCAAGUCGAGCGAGAGAGUGACUUCGGUCAUGAGUAAAGCGGCAGACGGGUGAGGAACACGUAGGUAAUUUUCCGUUCAAUGGGGGACAACGGUCCGAAAGGACCGCUAAUACCGCAUACGUUUCAUGGGACUUUGGUCCUGUGAAGGAAAGCUGGGCAACUGGCGUUGAAUGAGAAGCCUGCGUCGCAUCAGCUAGUUGGUGGGGUAAUGGCCUACCAAGGCGAAGACGCGUAGCUGGUCUGAGAGGAUGAUCAGCCACACUGGAACUGAGACACGGUCCAGACUCCUACGGGAGGCAGCAGUGGGGAAUAUUGGACAAUGGGCGCAAGCCUGAUCCAGCCACGCCGCGUGAGUGAUGAAGGCCUUCGGGUCGUAAAGCUCUGUGGGGAGAGACGAACCGCUGGGGUAACCCUUCAGCAUGACGGUAUCUCCUUAGCAAGCACCGGCUAACUUCGUG